CUAGGGGAGCAGCAGUGGGGAAUAUUGCACAAUGGGCGGAAGCCUGAUGCAGCAACGCCGCGUGAGGGAUGACGGCCUUCGGGUUGUAAACCUCUUUUAGCAGGGAAGAAGCGAGAGUGACGGUACCUGCAGAAAAAGCGCCGGCUAACUACGUGCCAGCAGCCGCGGUAAUACGUAGGGCGCAAGCGUUAUCCGGAAUUAUUGGGCGUAAAGAGCUCGUAGGCGGUUUGUCGCGUCUGCUGUGAAAUCCCGAGGCUCAACCUCGGGCCUGCAGUGGGUACGGGCAGACUAGAGUGCGGUAGGGGAGAUUGGAAUUCCUGGUGUAGCGGUGGAAUGCGCAGAUAUCAGGAGGAACACCGAUGGCGAAGGCAGAUCUCUGGGCCGUAACUGACGCUGAGGAGCGAAAGGGUGGGGAGCAAACAGGCUUAGAUACCCUGGUAGUCCACCCCGUAAACGUUGGGAACUAGUUGUGGGGACCAUUCCACGGUUUCCGUGACGCAGCUAACGCAUUAAGUUCCCCGCCUGGGGAGUACGGCCGCAAGGCUAAAACUCAAAGGAAUUGACGGGGACCCGCACAAGCGGCGGAGCAUGCGGAUUAAUUCGAUGCAACGCGAAGAACCUUACCAAGGCUUGACAUACACCAGAACACCGUAGAAAUACGGGACUCUUUGGACACUGGUGAACAGGUGGUGCAUGGUUGUCGUCAGCUCGUGUCGUGAGAUGUUGGGUUAAGUCCCGCAACGAGCGCAACCCUCGUUCUAUGUUGCCAGCACGUAAUGGUGGGAACUCAUGGGAUACUGCCGGGGUCAACUCGGAGGAAGGUGGGGAUGACGUCAAAUCAUCAUGCCCCUUAUGUCUUGGGCUUCACGCAUGCUACAAUGGCCGGUACAAAGGGCUGCAAUACCGUGAGGUGGAGCGAAUCCCAAAAAGCCGGUCCCAGUUCGGAUUGAGGUCUGCAACUCGACCUCAUGAAGUCGGAGUCGCUAGUAAUCGCAGAUCAGCAACGCUGCGG
This 1012-nucleotide ribosomal RNA is filed under the name Microbacterium sp. RP581. Its description in RNAcentral is "bacterial SSU rRNA". It matches the Rfam family "Bacterial small subunit ribosomal RNA", at positions 339 to 1362 of the family's 1533-position model. The record is from RNAcentral. Lineage: Bacteria; Bacillati; Actinomycetota; Actinomycetes; Micrococcales; Microbacteriaceae.